Long non-coding RNA from Suricata suricatta (meerkat), 560 nucleotides. RefSeq lists it as uncharacterized. NCBI's taxonomy places the organism in Eukaryota, Metazoa, Chordata, Mammalia, Carnivora, Herpestidae. The transcript has 2 exons. The record is from RefSeq and is a predicted model, not a curated record.
CUGGAUUCCGCCUGGGCCAGGUCCUCCAGCGAUUUCUCCAGCAGAUCCGCCAGCCGGUGCAGCACUUGUGAGCGCUCCUGGGCGCUCCUGGCCGACCAGCCGGGAAAGGCCGCCCUGGCCGCCUCCACUGCGGCUUGGAUCUUUGAGGAGCGACAGGGAGACAAUCAGCAUAAGACUGUUGCUUCUGGAGGAAUCCGGAAACCGCAGCUCCACGCAUGCCUAAUUGUUUUCUACCUGGUUUCAAAUAUUCAACACUCGGUAGGGCCUGCAAAGCGGUGUUUCCGUGACCAGUGAAUCACCGGCACCACAAAAACAAGGAAGAAUGAUCCGUUUUGACCAAGGUAUCCAGAGGCAGCAAUCAGCUUUCUUCCACCCCCGGGCUCGGACCCAGACCCAGAACCCUCCUCCACAGACGUCAGGCAACCACGAGCGUCCUUCCCGUCACACGUGAUCUGACCCGUCUGCUGCCUUCUCCCCCCAGAACUGAUGUACUCCCCUCCUUUGUUUUCAUUAUGCAAACAGAGUCACUUUCGGCCGGGCUGAAUAAAGGAUAAAAUGAU